RNAcentral lists this ribosomal RNA (542 nucleotides) under uncultured bacterium. Its description in RNAcentral is "partial 16S ribosomal RNA". It matches the Rfam family "Bacterial small subunit ribosomal RNA", at positions 355 to 889 of the family's 1533-position model. The record is from RNAcentral.
UGGGGAAUUUUGGACAAUGGGCGCAAGCCUGAUCCAGCAAUGCCGCGUGCAGGAUGAAGGCCUUCGGGUUGUAAACUGCUUUUGUACGGAGCGAAAAGCCUCUCUCUAAUACAGGGGGGUGAUGACGGUACCGUAAGAAUAAGCACCGGCUAACUACGUGCCAGCAGCCGCGGUAAUACGUAGGGUGCAAGCGUUAAUCGGAAUUACUGGGCGUAAAGCGUGCGCAGGCGGUUUUGUAAGACAGUGGUGAAAUCCCGGGCUCAACCUGGGAACUGCCAUUGUGACUGCAAGGCUGGAGUGCGGCAGAGGGGGAUGGAAUUCCGCGUGUAGCAGUGAAAUGCGUAGAUAUGCGGAGGAACACCGAUGGCGAAGGCAAUCCCCUGGGCCUGCACUGACGCUCAUGCACGAAAGCGUGGGGAGCAAAACAGGAUUAGAUACCCUGGUAGUCCNCGCCCUAAAACGAUGUCAACUGGUUGUUGGGGAUUUAUUUCUUCAGUAACGAAGCUAACGCGUAAGUUGACCGCCUGGGGGAGUACGGCCGC